AGAACGAACGCUGGCGGCAUGCCUAACACAUGCAAGUCGAACGAGACCUUCGGGUCUAGUGGCGCACGGGUGCGUAACGCGUGGGAACCUGCCUUUAGGUUCGGAAUAACUCAGAGAAAUUUGAGCUAAUACCGGAUAAUGUCUUCGGACCAAAGAUUUAUCGCCUUUAGAUGGGCCCGCGUAGGAUUAGCUUGUUGGUGGGGUAAUGGCCUACCAAGGCGACGAUCCUUAGCUGGUCUGAGAGGAUGAUCAGCCACACUGGGACUGAGACACGGCCCAGACUCCUACGGGAGGCAGCAGUGGGGAAUAUUGGACAAUGGGCGAAAGCCUGAUCCAGCAAUGCCGCGUGAGUGAUGAAGGCCUUAGGGUUGUAAAGCUCUUUACCCGGGAUGAUAAUGACAGUACCGGAGAAUAAGCUCGGCUAACUCCGUGCCAGCAGCCG
RNAcentral lists this ribosomal RNA (442 nucleotides) under uncultured soil bacterium. RNAcentral describes it as "bacterial SSU rRNA". It matches the Rfam family "Bacterial small subunit ribosomal RNA", at positions 26 to 517 of the family's 1533-position model. The record is from RNAcentral.